GAUGAAGAACGUAGCGAAAUGCGAUACGUAAUGUGAAUUGCAGAAUUCAGUGAAUCAUCGAGUCUUUGAACGCACAUUGCGCCCCCUGGUAUUCCGGGGGGCAUGCCUGUCCGAGCGUCAUUGCUGCCCUCAAGCACGGCUUGUGUGUUGGGCCUCCGUCCUCCCCCCGGGGGACGGGCCCGAAAGGCAGCGGCGGCACCGCGUCCGGUCCUCGAGCGUAUGGGGCUUCGUCACCCGCUCUUGUAGGCCCGGCCGGCGCUUGCCGACACAUCAAUCUUUUUUCCAGGUUGACCUCGGAUCAGGUAGGGAUACCCGCUGAACUUAAGCAUAUCAAUAAGCGGAGGAA
RNAcentral lists this unclassified non-coding RNA (346 nucleotides) under soil metagenome. RNAcentral describes it as "partial contains 5.8S ribosomal RNA, internal transcribed spacer 2, and large subunit ribosomal RNA". The stretch from base 1 to 120 matches the Rfam family "5.8S ribosomal RNA", at positions 35 to 154 of the family's 154-position model. The record is from RNAcentral.